CUUUUAUAGUAAAUAAUAUUACAUUUAAUUUCGACUUAAAAAUUGAUUAAUUUAAUCUAAGAGAC
Molecule: transfer RNA, 65 nt
Filed under: Nylanderia flavipes
Lineage: Eukaryota; Metazoa; Arthropoda; Insecta; Hymenoptera; Formicidae
Description: tRNA-Arg
Source: RNAcentral